This 393-nucleotide ribosomal RNA is filed under the name uncultured archaeon. RNAcentral describes it as "bacterial SSU rRNA". It matches the Rfam family "Archaeal small subunit ribosomal RNA", at positions 37 to 435 of the family's 1478-position model. The record is from RNAcentral.
GUUCCGACUAAGCCAUGCGGGUCAAAGGGUCGUAAGACACUGGCGUACUGCUCAGUAACACGCGGACAAUCUAACCCCAGGCGGGGUAUAACCUCGGGAAACUGAGGGUAAUUCCCCAUAGUUAUCAUAUGCUGGAAUGCUUUGAUGAUGAAAGUUCCGCGCCUGAGGAUGAGUCUGCGGCCUAUCAGGUAGUAUGUGGCGUAAAGGACCACAUAGCCUUUGACGGGUACGGGCCCUGAGAGGGGGAGCCCGGAGAUGGACUCUGAGACACUAGUCCAGGCCCUACGGGGCGCAGCAGGCGCGAAACCUGGGCAAUGCGCGCGAGCGCGACACGGGGAGCCUGAGUGCCUUGACUAAGUCAAGGCUUUUCUUAAGCCUAAAAAGCUUGAGGAA